UUCUUGUUCUGCUGAAAGAACCAUUUCUGUGCACAUCUUUGAAUAGCAAAUAACACUUGCUGGAAGAUUUCAAAAAGAGGGGACAAUCCUUUUCCUUGCCGUGCUCCCGGUGUUAAAGAAGGCCUACAUUUCUCUUCUCCAAGGCAGUUUAUGAGUCAUCCCAUCCAGAGGAACCAGAUUGCUAAACUACAAAGAUAAGACCGGCCAAACCUUAAGACGUAAGCUCCAAAUUGUCUUGGUUGAUACAUAAAGACAAUGGAUGCCAUAUUCCAAAGUAAAACCACCACACGGGACUUACAAAAAGGAGGAGGAAGAAAACCAGUCUUGCAACACUUAGCUGACCAUCCACCUCCAGCUAUAAAAAUGUUUGGAGAAAUUAAAAAGACAAUGAAGACAGUUUUUGGAAUGGAAAGUUGGCGUGUCAAGGGAAAGAAAUGGUGCCUGCCCUUUGCCCUCAAACCCACCGUGGAGGGCUUCAGGGAGACCACAAUUGGAGGCCACAGUGGACCAGCGUAAGUCGCCCAUCUGAGGAAUCCGAAGCCCAGCAUUCGGACUUGCCAGGAGCUGAUGACAGAGGAGUCAAAGGAAAGGAGGCUGCAUGGUCUGUAAUCUCAGAGUUUGUGAGGGCACAGAAGGGUGUUUCCUUGAAUGAGCAGUGGGCCAGGAGAGAGAGAGAGAAAGGGAGCAUCACAGAGCCAACCAGCAUUGGAUUGUGUCCCAUCCCAUCUGAGAGGGCGACCAGGCGAGGUAAAUAAACCUCAGCAGAGAGAAGCUGAAGGUACCACUGUACGUCCAGGGGCUCAGCAAGGCCUAGCAACAAGCUAAAAAGAACACAUCACCCACACCACGGGAACUGCGGGCAAGAGGCCCCAGGGACUGGAGGUGGGAUUAGGGGGCACGGGGAGGAUAGGGAAAAAGUAUACAAAGAACCUAUGAAAGAGAGAGUCAGCUUAAACACCUGCCUUGCCCAGAGAGUACCACUCCCACUCACGACAGUUCUGACCAGGGAAGAACUUUCUUGUUCCCCUUUCUCUUCCAGACACGCCAACCCUGAGGGUUCAGAAACUACGGUUAGCACAAUGGCUGAAGGAGAAAGAGAAGCUUUAAGCGAGGAACGAGAGGAAGCCAGCACACCCUUCUCUAACUGAAUGUUUCCCCUCUCUGUCAGGCCUAAGCUGGGGAGGGAGAGACGCCUCAAUGUUAAAUCAAGUUCAACAUUUU
Molecule: long non-coding RNA, 1221 nt
Filed under: Equus caballus (horse)
Lineage: Eukaryota; Metazoa; Chordata; Mammalia; Perissodactyla; Equidae
Description: lncRNA (ENSECAG00000043690.2)
Source: RNAcentral